Molecule: small RNA, 629 nt
Filed under: Arabidopsis thaliana (thale cress)
Lineage: Eukaryota; Viridiplantae; Streptophyta; Magnoliopsida; Brassicales; Brassicaceae
Description: ATSL155450
Source: RNAcentral
UUAGAAAAGAUUUCUUCACUGUAUUAAGACUUGGAAUGAAUAUCUCAAGAACAAUGGAUGAAUAGCUUAUGUCUCUCCCAAUAGUGUUUGCAUAAAACUUGAUAAAAGACUUGAUAAUGAGAACUAGGUCUACAAACAAUAUAUAUAGACCCUAAAAAAGUCCAGGGACUAAUAAUGCAAAUAGGAAAAUCUUCUGGGGCAAAUUUGAUAUUCUGUAAACUCGAAAGCGUUUAGGGUUUUUGCUGGGCCGAAACUGGUGUCGAUCGACACCAAGAGUGUGUCGAUCGACACCAAGAGUGUGUCGAUCGACACUCCUCGCUGAUUCCUGAACCAAAAUCAGCCUUAGCUUUUGCUCCUAAAUGUCUCCUUAUCUUCAUUGUUGUUUCAUUGCAUAGAAUACCUGAAAAGACACUAAAAAGACUCGAGAAAUAACAUAAAGACUCAAAAUCCUAUACCUAAAAACAUGGAUAAAAUCAGUAAAAAUCGGGUUAUAUCAGCUACCAAUGUUUUUUUAAUCUUUUUGGCAUGGAUACAAAUCUUAGUGUUAAACUCUUUUUGUAAAGCCUCAAACUUUUAUUUUAUAUGAUAUUCACAUUCUUAUGAUAGCUUAAUAUACACAAAAGAUCUUU